UACAGAGGUCUCAAGCGUUGUUCGGAUUCAUUGGGCGUAAAGGGUGCGUAGGUGGCGGGGUAAGUCAGGUGUGAAAUCUCGGAGCUCAACUCCGAAACUGCACUUGAUACUGCCUUGCUUGAGUACUGGAGAGGAGAUUGGAAUUUACGGUGUAGCAGUGAAAUGCGUAGAUAUCGUAAGGAAGACCAGUGGCGAAGGCGAAUCUCUGGACAGCUACUGACACUGAGGCACGAAGGCCAGGGGAGCAAACGGG
RNAcentral lists this ribosomal RNA (253 nucleotides) under uncultured bacterium. RNAcentral's name for it is "partial 16S ribosomal RNA". It matches the Rfam family "Bacterial small subunit ribosomal RNA", at positions 524 to 776 of the family's 1533-position model. The record is from RNAcentral.